This 64-nucleotide transfer RNA is filed under the name Ascobulla fragilis. RNAcentral's name for it is "tRNA-Ala". The record is from RNAcentral. Lineage: Eukaryota; Metazoa; Mollusca; Gastropoda; Volvatellidae.
GGUGUAAUACUUUAUAUAGAAGACCUAAUUUGCAUUUAGGCAGAAACCGGCAGGUUUUACACCA